AUUGAACGCUGGCGGCAUGCCUUACACAUGCAAGUCGAACGGCAGCACGGGGGCAACCCUGGUGGCGAGUGGCGAACGGGUGAGUAAUACAUCGGAACGUGUCCUAUCGUGGGGGAUAACUAGUCGAAAGACUAGCUAAUACCGCAUGAGAUCGAGAGAUGAAAGCAGGGGACCGCAAGGCCUUGCGCGAUUGGAGCGGCCGAUGUCGGAUUAGCUAGUUGGCGGGGUAAAAGCCCACCAAGGCGACGAUCCGUAGCUGGUUUGAGAGAACGACCAGCCACACUGGGACUGAGACACGGCCCAGACUCCUACGGGAGGCAGCAGUGGGGAAUUUUGGACAAUGGGGGAAACCCUGAUCCAGCCAUGCCGCGUGUGUGAAGAAGGCCUCGGUUGUAAG
RNAcentral lists this ribosomal RNA (397 nucleotides) under uncultured bacterium. Its description in RNAcentral is "bacterial SSU rRNA". It matches the Rfam family "Bacterial small subunit ribosomal RNA", at positions 29 to 429 of the family's 1533-position model. The record is from RNAcentral.